RNAcentral lists this ribosomal RNA (253 nucleotides) under uncultured bacterium. RNAcentral's name for it is "partial 16S ribosomal RNA". It matches the Rfam family "Bacterial small subunit ribosomal RNA", at positions 524 to 776 of the family's 1533-position model. The record is from RNAcentral.
UACAGAGGUGGCAAGCGUUGUUCGGCAUUACUGGGCGUAAAGGGCGCGUAGGCGGCCAUCUAAGUCAGACGUGAAAUCCCCCGGCUUAACCUGGGAACUGCGUCUGAUACUGGACGGCUUGAGUUUGGGAGAGGGAUGCAGAAUUCCAGGUGUAGCGGUGAAAUGCGUAGAUAUCUGGAGGAAUACCGGUGGCGAAGGCGGCAUCCUGGACCAACACUGACGCUGAUGCGCGAAAGCUAGGGGAGCAAACGGG